AGCGAACGCUGGCGGCAGGCUUAACACAUGCAAGUCGAGCGCCCGUAGCAAUACGGGAGCGGCAGACGGGUGAGUAACACGUGGGAACGUGCCUUUUGGUUCGGAACAACUGAGGGAAACUUCAGCUAAUACCGGAUAAGCCCUUACGGGGAAAGAUUUAUCGCCAAAAGAUCGGCCCGCGUCUGAUUAGCUAGUUGGUGGGGUAAUGGCCCACCAAGGCUACGAUCAGUAGCUGGUCNGAGAGGAUGAUCAGCCACACUGGGACUGAGACACGGCCCAGACUCCUACGGGA
RNAcentral lists this ribosomal RNA (292 nucleotides) under uncultured bacterium. Its description in RNAcentral is "partial 16S ribosomal RNA". It matches the Rfam family "Bacterial small subunit ribosomal RNA", at positions 29 to 346 of the family's 1533-position model. The record is from RNAcentral.